UACGAAGGGGGCUAGCGUUGUUCGGAAUUACUGGGCGUAAAGCGUGCGCAGGCGGCUUCUCAAGUCAGGGGUGAAAGCCCAGAGCUCAACUCUGGAAUUGCCUUUGAGACUGAGUGGCUUGAGUACGGGAGAGGUGAGUGGAAUUCCCAGUGUAGAGGUGAAAUUCGUAGAUAUUGGGAAGAACACCGGUGGCGAAGGCGGCUCACUGGCCCGUAACUGACGCUCAUGCACGAAAGCGUGGGGAGCAAACAGG
RNAcentral lists this ribosomal RNA (253 nucleotides) under uncultured bacterium. RNAcentral describes it as "partial 16S ribosomal RNA". It matches the Rfam family "Bacterial small subunit ribosomal RNA", at positions 524 to 776 of the family's 1533-position model. The record is from RNAcentral.